GCAUGAAAUUUGGCACAGGGGUUGCUAAGAGGUUACUUUUAGAUUUUAGAAGGGUAGCCCUCUUGGAUUUGGUGUGGUUUACCUUGUAGCGGCCAAUGAAGA
Molecule: long non-coding RNA, 102 nt
Organism: Thalassophryne amazonica
Lineage: Eukaryota; Metazoa; Chordata; Actinopteri; Batrachoidiformes; Batrachoididae
Exons: 3
Source: RefSeq, a predicted model, not a curated record